This is a non-coding RNA of Camellia sinensis, 535 nucleotides long. The record is from RefSeq and is a predicted model, not a curated record. NCBI's taxonomy places the organism in Eukaryota, Viridiplantae, Streptophyta, Magnoliopsida, Ericales, Theaceae.
AUAUAUGGAAGUUUAUGAUAAUUUGGUUGCAUUGACAGUUUUGGUACUCGCCUUUGUUAGGUCAAGAUAUUCCUUUCUAUGCGACUUUGGCUUUGUGUUUUAUGUCAGAUAAGGGUAGCUUUUUUCAUCGUUACGUACGUGGAUGCAUGUGCUUUUGUAAGUUGGUUGUGAAGUAAGACAUGCUUGAUGGGAAUAUUGGAAAUGGAAGUUAAAACAAAAAAGAGGAGUUUAUCUGGAUAAGUGCCAGGCUAGCUAGUUGGGGAAAAUUAGAAGCAGAGAUGGUUUUACUUUUGUGGUGGUUGUGGUUCAGCUACUUGAUAGGAUACAAUUUUCGAUCGUCGUUCCAAGAUUAGGAAAAAAUCAAGAAUUAUUUAUUUAUUUAUUUAUUAUUUUUUGUGUGGUUAUAAUGAAUUGAAAGUGAUUAAUAUGUUGAGCCUAAUCGGUCGUGGCAGAGAUGGUGAUGAUCCAUAAAGUUGGUAUCAGAAUCUGUGUGGAAAAUAUGAGCAUCAAAUGAAGAUAUCACAUUGCUCACAAA